CUUCGGCUUGGGCCUGGCUCAAGGCCCGCCUUUCUUUGGCUUUGGGUUGAACAUUUUUGAACGGUUAUUGUUGCUUGUCUACCUGCUCUUCUCCGUCUCUCGCAUUGCCUUCCAGUCCAUCAUCUUCUUCGUUGCCAUCGUAUCGUCUUCUGGAUGCGCUUUGAAUAUUAACAACCAAUUUCGAUCAUUAUUUGAUUCAUUUUCAGCUUCAUUUGGAUGGCGACAGACACUGGUUGCUGGUUUUCCCUUUUCCUUUUCCUUUUUAUCAUUGUUAUUUUUAUUUCUUUCCCUCAUCCACCAUCCUGCUGUGAUCGGCAUUCAUAAUGUGGGUCCGGUCCGUUUCCGCAGCGACGACUGAUCAAGUGGUGGGUCUGUAUCUGCAUAUGUUUGCCUCUUUAUCUCUCUGUGUGUGUGUGUGUGUGUGUGUCUCUGUAACUGUGUAUGCAUAUGGGUGCAUAUGGAGAUCAACUUCUGCUGACAAUGGAACUUCCUCUGCCUGCAUGUUUUGUAUGCGGACAGCACUGUCGCUUACGUUUUGCACUGGAGAUCGCUGGAUAACGGACAACGGUCUGCGAUUGAAAUGAAUGGAGGUUACCUAAUACUCGUGGACUGGAAAUGGAGCAAGGGAAGGCCAGUUACUUCACCAUGCAAAUAUGUUGCUAUAGCCUUAUAAAUACGGCGUGAAGCUAACAGCGACUGUGACCUACGGCAUACUCUGUUGGACAUCUCAUUUACAUAAUACAUACAUAUACACAUA
Molecule: long non-coding RNA, 757 nt
Organism: Drosophila pseudoobscura
Lineage: Eukaryota; Metazoa; Arthropoda; Insecta; Diptera; Drosophilidae
Exons: 3
Source: RefSeq, a predicted model, not a curated record